AAGACCCUCUCUCCUCCCACAGGGGGAGCCCACAUGAAUUGGGGAGCCUGCUGCAGGAGGAACCUUUCUUUCCCUCUCCUCUGGUUCCCACAGGGGCUCAUAAAGAGGAACCCUCCUCCUUCCUGGAAAUGUUGAGUGUUCCUGACCUUCUCUCUACCCAUCGCUGUACCCAGGGAGGGAAGAGUGACUUGGGAACCAGAUAGGGACAUGGAGCUAUUCCGGAAGCGGCUGUCAGUGUAUGGAUCAUACUGCCCAUCAGCAUUGGAGAGGCUGUGAGUCCUCAGCAUGGUCGGGUUGGACAAGCUCAUCUGGGUGACAGUGGUGGGACUCGCUGGAAUAAAAGGAAUAGAAUCAAAAGGUUAGACAUUCAUGUCUCUGUUCAAAUCCUGGUUGGGGACAAAGAGAAGACUGCUUAUUUUUAGCCACAUGUGUUUCUGCCAACUCUUCUCCCAUCUGUUUUCUAAAAGGUAGUCCCAUCAGCAUUUGAGUUACACACCGGGAGCUAAAAAUAAGAGUAAAAAGGCAGGUCAGCUCCAAAGCAAGGCUCUGGGCCUCAGCUUUCCAACUUGGCACGUUCAGACAGGCCAGUAUCACCUUCCAGGCAUGAGCUAAUUACUCCCCAGGCUCAUCUGGAAUGAUUUUCUCUAAAGCCAAAAGCCCAAAAUAGUCCAAUCAGGCUUUUGAUCAGAUGGGAAGCAUUUGUGCAUGACAAGAAUCUCUUGCCUCAAAGAGUUAUGGCUGGGAAAGAACAGUAUGAACACAGAUCCCAUUGCCUCAGAUGGGGGACAUUUAAUAAUGGUAUAUAAAGAGUUUCAAUGCAAGGAAGGUACAUUUGUCUCAGCUAAAACUAGCUUUCUUAUGAAAAUCCUGUCCAUUUGAGUCAUGUGCAAUAUUUUCAGAGGUACUCAUUUAGUCAAUCAGAAAUGAAGUGUUAAACCUCACUUGAUUACAAGCCACCUCUAUCCUUAAAGACUCUGAAUUUGUUAUUCACUAUAUUCAGAAAAGCCUGCCUCUCUAAAGAGUGAGAUGAGAUUAGAAAAGAUUUCUCACCCUCUAUCAGUCCUUCAAGGCUCAGCUCCUACUCUGCCACCUUCACAUAACCUCUGCCUAUAACUUCAGCCAGCACUAAUCUUUCCUUUUUCUAAAUGUGUCUAAUGCUUGCUAUCUAAUUAUAUUCAGCUUUUACAUGAUUUCAUAUAAAGCUCUGGAUUGUUCUCUUUUACUCUAUUAUAUAGGUGUGCAUUGAUGUGUUUGUCUUCCUGAAAAAGAAUUCCAUUGACAUGUCAGCAGGGACUGUGACACAAAUUCUUUUCCUUUCCCCACUGUGCCAGUCAAAGCAUUAUGUCAGAAGUAGGCAUUGUUAAGAAUACCUAUUCAAUCAAAACUUAACUUUUAUUUCCAACUUAAUAAAGCAAUGAGGAUGACCUAACAUGGGAUAUGCGAUAAAAUCUAUUUCUUCAGAGGUCUUAGAAAAAGAAUGCAUUCUUUUUAAGAAUGGGAUAACAUGUUCUUUGCUAUAGCCCUACCAAUAUCAACCAAAUAAAGAAAAUUAUUGAUUACAGUAUCAAAAACUUUACUAUUUUCUCUAUUUAUUUUUCUGUCAAUCCCCUGUAAUCGAUCUAUAUUGCCGAGGGCUAAUCAGACACUGAGCGGGAUGUGACUAUAUGUCUAUUUCAAAAUGUAAGAUAACUCAAGUGAUGGGUGCACCAAAAUCUCAGAAAUCACCACUAAAGAACUUACCCAUGUAACCAAAACCACCUGCUCCCCAAAAACUAUUGAAAUAAAAAUAUGUUAUGUAUAUAAGAUAACCACUGCCCUGUGGAGCUGAUCAACAUAGGUAAUGACAAGUGGCUACUCACCAAGCUGGGAAAAGUUGAAUCUUGUUCCGGAGGGAGAAGUCACGCUGGAGCCAGAGGAAAAGGGGGAAUUGGCAGCGGUGUCCUGAAGGCCUCCUGCAGAAUGGGACCGUAACCAUUCUUUUGCAUCUUCUUGCGUGCGAAGCUGGGAGGUGGGAGUAUACCUGGACAGACAGAAAUCAAGCCGGAAUUAACUAUGAACAAUGCUUAUUAAAAUGAACUCUGUGGAGCUGAUGGUAAAUAUAUAAAAAGAAAACAUAUAUCCGAAGAUGAUUUUUUUUAAAAUCAGAUCACUACACGUCCUGAAACUUAUGAAGUUUCUCAAAACCUUUUUUCUAUUUGGCUGUGUUUGGGGAAAAUGACUACUCCCUUUCAGUUUGGAGGGAACACAUAAAGGGAAGAAGAUUGGUAAAUGCUCAGAAGAGCCGUCACUGGGCGUAUCUGUAACAUGUUGCUUCAUGACAGUGUCACGUCAAAGCCCCCACCUUGACAGGACUGAAGCAACAAAAUGAGCUGCUGUUAGAGCUUUGAGGGAGUUUUAAUUAGACAACUCAUGGCAUCUGCCAUUCUACAACACAAAUAAAUGACCAUGAAUCACAGCAUAUGAAAAAGCAGACAUACAAAGCAAGGUUUGAGGACACUGAUGCUUAUAGUAGUUGCUGUAAUAGAGCACAAACAAAUCUUCAUAAAAGCAACCCCAAAUUGUUGAGUUUUAUAGGAGAGGGUCUUCAGAAGUUAUGUGGUCCACCACCUCAUUUAUUCUGAAAUGUAUAUGGUGAUGAUUUAUUGAACAUCUGCAAUGUGCUAGGUGCCUUCAUGUGCAUUAUCUUACCAAAGCCUCAGACCUACUCAGCAAUGCAGAUGCCAUUAUUCCUAUUUUACAUUCAGGGAAGGUAAGAACCCUGCUGGUAGUCACAGAGUUGAGAUUUCAAUCCAUGUUUGAUUUUAAAAUGCAUGUUCUUUUCAUUAUGCCCAUAAGUAGCGUGUGAAAUUUCUUUCCUUUUUUUUUUUUUUUUUUUUUUUUUCGAGACGUAGUCUUGCUCUACUGCCCAGGCCGGAGAAAGGUGGCAUGAUCUCGGCUCACUGCAACCACUGUCUCUUGGGUUCAAGUGAUUCUCCCACCUCAGCCUCCCGAGUAGCUGGGACUAUAGGCAUGUGCCACCAUGCCCAGCUAAUUUUUUGUAUUUUUAGUAGAGACAGGGUUUUACCAUGUUGGCCAGGCUGGUCUUGAACUCCCGCCCUCAAGUGAUCCACCUACCUCAGCCUCCCAAAGUGCUAGGAUUACAGGCAUGAGCCACCGCACCUGGCCUGCAUCUGAAAUUUCUGAGUGCCAAGUGGCCAGGGUAUCCUCGGACUUAUAUAUUAUGGAGUGACUACUGAUUAUGUCAAUAGGGGGAUUCUUUGGGCUUAAGGAAAGAUGUUGUCAGUGUGUUCGUACUGGAUGUUCAUGUGUAUGGAGUGGGUGAGCUACACAGGAAGAAUCAGAGUGAGAGGGAGCACAGAAAUGUUUUCUCCUUAAUGUUUUUACUAUAUCUGACAGACAUGCAACUUUCCAGGACACAUCAAUUGCCUGAAAAUAGCCUGUCAUGUAUCUCUAUUCUGAAUUUUUAAAAAACCAGAGCUACAUAAUUUUGAUAGGCUAGAUCUGCUACAGAAGUAUACACACCAUUUCACAAUGUUAACAUUUAGAAGUUAGCUUUCUCUCAGGGCACCAGUGGGGCAUCAAAGUCAAACUCACAGUGAGAGUGGCCAUGAUUUAAGCAUCUGGCAUGGUUGCUGACAAGCAGCUCAUAGGCACGAUUGAAACUGGUAAGUACAAAAGGCCUUGCCAAGGCCCCCUCUAAGGCCACACUGCUCAACAACUUCCUGCAGGAUGACUGUUGGGAGAUUUUAAUACUUUCCUUCUUAGAUUCUUAGAACUGGCUUUACUCAGAGGAUCCCAUUGAAAGGAAGCAUUGAUACCUACCUCACAUUACUGUUCAAAAUGCUCUCAGUCUUAAGAGCUGCAGGUUAUUAACUAUAGACAUACAUGACAGCAAUGAAACAUUUCAUUCCAAGUCCCAUUUUAUGCGAAAGCACUUAAUGCUUAGUGCAGGGUGAAGCUGAUGCUACAGGGCAUGUGGUGUUUAGAAAGCAGAAGAAAUGACGGCUGCAACCAUAAGACAGCAAGAUCACAGGGGAGGCAUUAGCAAACUGAAUUUUCUCUGAUUGGCAAAGUGAUAUAGAUGGUGUGAGCAAUGGUGACUUAUAGCAUCUUGUUUUGCCAGGACUAGCACCAAAAACGAACCUGAGCCACCACUUACCAGGAAUGGAAGGACAGUCCUUCCUGGGAGUCUUUUCUUUAUUAUCCACCAAAAAAUGAUCACACCCAUGUCUUGUUGGGCAAUGAAAGUGGACCAAUUUUCCAUUAGAAUAUUUAGACAAGGGCAAAGUAUCUGUCUAGCAAUUUUUUAUGGGCAGAAAAGUUAAAUAUUUUCAAAUUGGGGGAAAAUAUUCCUUGCCUCCUGUGCUCUUGUCCUAGCUUACAAAUCAGUAUGCUAUAAGUCAUGUCCUUUCUCUUGGAAGACAGCCAUGUUAACAGAAUGGUCAUGGUGAAGUGCUCAGAAAUUAAACCCAUUGGCCCCAGAAGCAGUAAUGACUGCUCCUUGGGCUUGCCCAGGGAUGUUUUUCAUGAGAUGGUUUUACCACAUUAAGCCUGAAAAAGCACAGCCCCUGCUCAAGCAAAUAAGCUGACAAAUGGAGAGUGAGAACGAGAGGGUGCAAGGGGAGCCGUCAUCCAAAAGGUCCUGCUGUGGUGGUCAAAGCGGGGACCCCAGCCCAGCCCAAACCCCCACCAGCCAUGAAGGAGUCACACAGCCAAGCUCCAAAGCCACAACAGAUGGCACAGAUGCAAGGAGGAAACACAGAUACCUGAGUCCUUUCUUAGGCAAAGUGUUCCUAUCAAGGUGCGGGUCACUGUAGGAAAGUUAAAACAAAAAUAAGAACUUCAGAGCAGCACACAGAAGGCAGAGAGAGGGAAAGCUAGGGAGGGGACUGAAGGGCCCUGGAGAAAGAGGUGCACAUCACCAGGAAGUGCCUUAUCCAGCUAGGCGUGCAAUGCAACACAUCCACAUCCGUGGAAAACAAAAGAAACCCAAUCCUCAGCCUGAGCUGACACCAGCGCAUACUUUACCCCAGGUCACCAGGAGGCCUGAGUCCCUUAACCCCAAUUGUUCCUCGUUUUCCACAGAUUCAAAGCAAAAUUCAGGGGUUGCUCCACCUCAAAGCAGAGGUCCUGUGCCUUCUACUGCCCAGGGGCACUCUCUGCACCAACACGGCUUCUCAGAGAGAGGGAUGCCCACUUCCCUGCACCCCUAACUCUGGCCCACCCCCUAAAUGCCACUGGCAAUGACUUCAAAUGGGAGAACAGACUUGUUGGAGGUUUCAAGAGGCCAGCAGUCUGCAUAUUUGGAAUUCAUCUGUAACGAAGUGAAUUCCAGGUCCCUCUCAAUUUCUGCGGCCCAGGCAUAGCUAGGAGCUGAGUCCUGGGUGGGGCAUGUUACAACUUGCUGGCUGAUGAAGUCAAAGCACUUGGAUUUCUAAAGACCAACGGUUUAAAGGCUUGGUUUGUGAGCUGACAAAAACAAAGUUUUCACUGUUGAUGGGGUGAAGGUUUUUUUUUUUUUUUUUUUCUGGCAGGAGACAACAUCUGUUUGUUAUGUUUGGCCAGGUCAUCACUCCCCCACAAAAUUAAGGACAGUAUCCAUCUCUGAGGCCCACCUACAGCUGGGGGCAAACACAAGCGUGUACAUUUGUAAAGUCUUAAUACUCUACACAUUCUUUUUCAUUAUCAUCGCAGGAAAUGGGCACACAGAACACAACAGUCUGCAAGACAUAAUGAGCCAAACUUCAGCAAAGGAUUUUGAAAGGGAGAAGAGGCAGCUGCAUGGGGAGGGGUAGACAAAGGUGAGGGCCAAGCUACACAGUGGGUGGCAGGUCAUUUCUGGGCUUGGGGUUGGGGGUGGCAAAAGGAAUGGGAAGGAAGCUGAAAAGCAGGAACAUGCCACAGGAGGCCACAAGAGAUGCAAGCGAGAGCUUCCGCUGCCCCAGAUCAAGUGGCAGGGUUUAAGGUCGCCUUCCCAAAAUGGGAAUGAAGAGGCCAGCCCAACUCCACCUCUCCCUGGGCUUUAGCAGACAGAGGAACAGACUCUCACUGGCAUGUCCAUGUGUCACAGAGUACACUAGAGCCACAAACACAAGCAGGUGGCUUAGGCCAACAGCCUCGCACAAGACAUCUGGCUUGACAACGAAUGGGCAGAAGAACCUAGAGGCUCGGUUGGUCCCCGGCCUGCAAUGUCAUUACCUGUCCUGUUUCCUGGGCAGAGUACUUCUGCAGAACUUAGGGCUAGCAGCAGGGGAAGAGAGAGGGCUAGAAGUCCAGGCAGGUAGAAAACAAGAGAAGGAACGUUAGCUUGGAAGAAAGGAGAGGUGUUGUUAUAUACAUUUUUUUCAUUCCCCAUGCUGAUCCUCGCUUUCUUCCCUAUAUGCAGAAACUGGACACAUUUAUCCCUGCUGCAGAGAAAUCCAGGGCUCUGAGAACACUUUUAAUUUCUUGAUUUCCUAUCAGUCCAGGAGGAGGGUGUUUGCCACAAUGACAACAAACCUACCCAGCUGUCUAAAGAGCAUCCUACUAAACACUCCAUGUCUGCACCCAGUCACCUGCUCUGCUUGCACAAUUACAAGGGGAGGGAAAAGAAGCUGUUGAUGAACAAACAGGAUAAAACUGAAGGAUUUCAAAAGCUGAAUGCCAUUUCAAAUGGUAGCAUAAAUCUGCCCCCGAGAGACUGAGCAGCUCCAAGCACCAAAAAUAACCACAGAGGAAAAGAUAACAGGGAGCAGAGCCAAGCUUGAUUCCAUCCUGAAGUGGCUUCCCCAUGAAAGACAGCAGUAAUUAGAAAGAGAGAAAUCUUACAGGCAAAGGCUAUUCGACAUUUGGGAUUCCUAAGCUAAUCUUUUUAUUUUUGGAAGGGUGUCUUUCUGAGAAAGGCAGCCAGAGGCACAGCACCAACCUUUCUGACAGUGUGGUCUUCACACUGUUAGUUCUGACAAAGGGAGUCAAGGAGUCGUCCUUGGAGGAGGCGAUGAGGCCAGUGGAAGAAUUGUGGCUGGGGACCCCUCCACUGCUGAGGGAGAUGUCGAUGGACUCACAGCUGGUGUGGAGGCUGCUGACAGACUGAAAGCCCAGGCCAUCCUUGCUAACUGCGGAGGAGCUGCUGGCGUUGGUGCCCCAGGGCCAAGACAGCCCCGGCCUCUUACCAGUUCCUGGGGUCUUCAGUGCGCCUGCCGGGGCUGAAGGCUUCGUCCUUGGCAUGGUGAUGCCCACCUGAGCUGUCAUGCCUCGCCGCCAUGAGCCUGUCUGGGAGAUGACAGGAUUCUUCUUGCCCGACGUGCUUUUGUCGGACUCGUCAGACACAUCAGAAGGAUUCCGCCUCCACUUGGAACCUGGCUCCAUUUUUAUGCCGCUGUCUGAGCCUCCGUCUGAUUUCUUGACAUCAUCACCAGACCACAGGGAAUUCCUCUCCACCUGUGAGUGCUUCUCAGCAUCAGUCUGUGGACAGAGACUCUCUGAAUUAGUCCUUCCCCAGUCCCAGGCUGGGAAGCCCCUCACUCCAAAGGCAAAAAUGCCAAAACACUGGAGUAGUUAAGGGAAAAAUAAGCAUUACUUUAAAGAUGUUUGGACUUUUGUACUCUGGUUAUCUUGUUAGAAAGACUGAUUUUUUUUUUUUGGAAAAAAAAAUAAAAAAGUAAAUAAUAUCAAUGUAUCCCUGGAAUGGAAUGGAACGAGAUGGCUGGGCACAGUGGCUCACGCCUAUAAUCCUAAUAUUUUAGGAGGCUGAGGCGGGAGGAUCACUUGAUCCCACAAGUUUAAGACCAGCCUGGGCAUCAUGGCAAAACCCCAUCUCUACAAAAAAUAGAAAAAUUAGCUGAGUGUGGUGGCACACGCCUAUAGUUCUACCCACUCGGGUGGUUGAGGUGGGAGGAUCACCCCGGGGAGGUGGAGGCUGCAGUAAGCCGUGACCGCACCACUGUACUCUAGCCUGGAUGACAGGGCGAGACUGUCUCAAAAAAGAAGAAAAGAAAAGCAAAAGAAAGGAGUGAGGGAAGAGAGGAAAAGGGGCCCAGGAAAAAAGAAGGAAAGAGCCCUAGCGAGGGGAAGGGGCAGAGCAGAUGGAGAUGCAGUGGGAAUUCAGCCACCACCUAUUUUCUGCCACUUGAACAAGCCUCCUCCAACUCUGGCGGCUGAUCUCUAACCAGCAUCCAGUCUCCUGGCCCGUUUCCCUUUGUUCUGCCUUCUUCCCAUCACUGCACCGCAGAGAGAUCUUUGGAUCUAACACACCAAGCAAGGGAGCAAGGGUGGCUGCUGGUUCUACGCAAAUCAGGGAGAGCCAGGAGCUGAGGGGAAGCGCAUCCUCAAAUGCUACUUCCCCCAAAUGCGGAGAGCCAAUGAUGCCUGCUCCGACCCCAGCAUUAUUUAUAUGCCACUGCUUUGCUCCCCUUGUGGGAUUUUGUUCUGACAAGGGAUAUAAUUAGCCAGCUUUCUUUGGAAGAGCCCUGACCUGCUGGCCAUAAAACCCAGAAGGGGACCGAAGUGUGACGUUAAUGAUCUCCUGCAGCUAAAAGGCAUAAAGCUGACCAGAAUGCUUUGGAGGCCUCCUGGGGUUUGAGGCCAGUUGGAGGAUGUCAGUAGCGAGAAGCAGCACGGUAAAUGGGGAAGGGAGGUCAGGAGCGCUUUCAGGGUGGGUAUACUAAGAUACCAGUCCCAUAUUUGCAAUGCUUAACUACCGAGAGUAGGCAAGAUAGGAAAUUAAAAUGAACACCUGGCAAGAAUCUGCCUAACGCCUGUCAUCCAAGAGUGGAAGAAAUGCCUUCCUCCAUGGAAUACAAUGGCUGAAUGGGAUAAAAGCUAAAAACAGAUAGGCAGCCCAAGUUCAAUCGCCUCCCCAACACCACCCCAACCCCUUCUCCCCUUAUGAAUUCCACUCAUCCAUUACAGACACCUUAUGAGUUCUUUCAUUUGUUUUUUUCCAGCUAAGUAUUAGUCACUAGAGAUAUGAGGAGGACAAACACACACUGCCUGGCUAUGAGAAGCUCAUCAUUCAGCUGUGGCAAGGGACAGAGAGAGGGGAGUUCCUACAUGUGGGCACAGGGCAGGAGCUCACUCAAAGCUUGAUGAGCGAAUGAAUGAGCCUAGGAAGGAGCCAAGGAACACACGCUUUUCAGGCCACAACAGACAUUAGCAAAAUUAUCUUAUCCGAUCUCAGCCUCUAUUUAAUCAGAAAGGGUAAGUACACAAGUACUCAAGUACUGUUAUCUUUAUCUCAAUCUUACAGAAACUAAAGUUGCCCAUUCUUUGUCCCAACUACCUCAGGUCAGUUUCCUUCCUCUAAACACUUCCAGUACAUUCAUCCAACCAGAAUUUACUCCAUGCUUGCUGUCUGCCAGGCACCACGGAGGGUCAGAGAAUCUGGGGAUAAGACUGAUUUCCCACCCAUGGUGGAGCUUACGAUCCAGUGAAACAGGCAGAGAUAGAAUAAAUAAACACAAACAAGGGUGUAAUUGUAGACUACGAAGACUAUUAUAAGGAAAAAGACAAAAAGUCUGAGAAAUAAAUAUAGACAUUGACCUAAUUUAGAUGACAAUGAGGUGGGUAGGCGACAGUGAUCAGUUCAAAAAGAAGUACCCUAAAGAAAGAAAAGAAACUUACUUAGUAAAAGAAGAGUUUGGGGCAGAGCAUACCAGGGAGAGGGAACCACAUGUAUAAAGGUCCUGAGGCAGAAAAUAACUUGGCUUUGGAACAUUCACUUCACAAAUAUUUAUUGGGUGCCACUACGUGCCAGGAAAGCUUAUUCGCACUAGGAAUACUGCAAUGAACAAGUAUAAAUCAUUAACCUCAUGGAGCUUACAUUCAAGUACAUUUUAACAUAUUCUAAUAUGCUCUAAGAGGUACUGAAAAUUUAGCACAUGCCACAUCCUGGGUUACUGCAUUAUUUAUUCUUUUAAUGUUCCUAUACUUAUUUCCCCCCAAUCAAACUGUAAUGGUGCUAAUACUAGUAGCAUAACAACUACAAUUUAUUGAGUACUUACUACGUCCCAGGCACUAAGCUAAAGUGUUUGAUAUGUAUCAUUAAAUUUAAUCCUUAUCAAAAACCUAUGAGGAAAUUACAGUUAAUAGUCUCAAUUUUACAUGACAAAACUGAGGCAAACAGUGAAAAGAAAAUUUCCCAAGAUCACAUAGUGAGGAAGUAGAGAUGCAGGGAAUUCAGGGAGUCUAACUGCAGAGCCCACAUUUUAACCACCAUGCCACACUGCCCUCCCUAAGGAUAAGUCGAGGUAUAUGAUACAUUUGUGCAUACUCAGUAGCACCUAAUAGCUAUACCCAGCAGAUUCUCCUUCCAUACUGGCAGGCUCCCCAACCCCAGUUCUAGAGCAGCUCUAGCUUAGCCUCUAGGUGGGACCCAUACAACUCCAUUUCCAUCAGUGGCAGAGACAGCGCACAUGCCCCUGGCCUGGGAAUGUGGCUUGACUUUCUCUCUCUGGAAAGAACAAUCAUCCAGCCAUCACAUCUCCCUAGCUUGGUCCAGGGUGGUCACCUUCCCAGCUCUACUCUGAAUCCUUCAUGAGCUACAUGCCGGACUAUAAGGUGGCACCCCUUGGGAUUAAAAAACGAGAAAGUCCCAGCCUCUCUGUUCCUGGAGCUCGCAACAGCGGAACCAGCCAACAGGACAUCCACAUGGGGACGUACGAAGAGUUCUAUCCUGCCUUCCCCUCCAUGCCUCGGCCAGUUGUUUCCAUCUCAAUGGUACCUCCUUUCUGAAGGGUUUUCUUCUGCCUGUUCUUGGAAGUCUAUGUAGUCAUUCGAUAUCCACAUGGGAAGGUGAGGAAAGAAGCCACGCACAAGGGACUUCAGAAGGGAGGCCAGUCUUCUGAGAGCAAGAGGUGAGGCCUGAGGAGCAUGAUGUGGGGGAAGAGUGUGGGCUUUGGGUCUGACAGAUCUGGGUUCAAGUGUUCGGUGCUGCCACUCAUUUGCUGUGCAUGACCUUGGAAGACAUUGCCCUACUUAUCUGAACUUAUUAACUCAUGUAUAAAACAUGGAUGAUAAAUAGGUCUCUUACAGCAUUGAUGGUGAACUCAGUGAACUCAGUGUGGGGGGACUCAAUAA
RNAcentral lists this long non-coding RNA (11055 nucleotides) under Homo sapiens (human). RNAcentral describes it as "HSALNT0172861". Lineage: Eukaryota; Metazoa; Chordata; Mammalia; Primates; Hominidae. The record is from RNAcentral.